Non-coding RNA from Chrysemys picta bellii (western painted turtle), 3838 nucleotides. The record is from RefSeq and is a predicted model, not a curated record. Lineage: Eukaryota; Metazoa; Chordata; Testudines; Emydidae.
ACAAAUAUGCCAUAUCAUUUUUUAUGGUAUUCUCAAAUGCAGCAAAGUUGUUUUGCCUAUAUGUGCUUUUAGGUUUACAGUUAAAUGGUUAUGCUUACUUUUAAUACCAGUGGGCAUAAUACGAGGCCAUGAAAUAGAAAGCAGGUAAUGAUUAACUUUCAACUCCUUCAGUAACUGAAUAUCAUCCUGCAAAAAGAAAAUCCAAUUAAAAUAUUACUCACUAAUCCCAAUAGACUAAUUCUUCAGAUUAUUAAUCUACAAAUUAAAGCAAUUUUAACGAAAGACUUUGAGCUGAGGAAAUGUGAAAGAAGAGAGGAUUGCACAAAAACAAUGUGCUUUGCCAGUUAUUUUCUGUUUCCUUUGGAAAAAUGAUUAUUUGCAGAAGCUGGUGGGGUAUGAGUUUAUUCAAGUACAAAGAAGUCCUAAGCCUGUGUAUUUUACCUCAGUCUACUUGCCAUGGAAAUUGUGAAUGUAAUGUUAAAUUCAGAAUUCAUUGACUUCACUGUGGAAUCAAGCGUGGAAAGAAAAUGUGUUGUGAAGGAACAAGUUUUCUUACAAAGUGUGCCUAGCAUCAUCUUAAAAUAUUUUUAACUGACCGUCCCUUUCAAACUAAAUACAUAAAAUGGGAGGGUUGUGGAUAAGAGCAACCAAGCUUGGUUCAUAUACCUCUGCCCAGGUCAGAAACUAUGUCCAUGAGAUCUAGCUGCAGGCUAAGGUGGGGAUGUCUGGGGGUGUUAAUUUCUUUGUUUGUGUAAUUGCUAAGAAGGAGUCAAUGUUCAGCCUUGGGCCUCUACCCCUGUCCCCUCCUUUUGCAUACAUAACUUACUGUUCCUACAUUUUUUUCAUGUACAAAUAGCUAUUUGUACAUGCAGUGAGAUAGUUGGGUAUCCAACUGCUUGAUUUGCAUGUGCACAUAUGGAAUAUGAGGGCACCUAUUUAUGGAUACAGCCUGGGGUAUGUCUGCAAAAUUAGACUGAAGAAUUUGGCCCCAAACAUAUUAACUCUUUGCUAGAACAAAUUCAUGCUGGAACUCUUGAAUAUAAGGAUUUUAUACAGGGUCAUCUGCAAAUAAAUUACCCAUGCUGCUAGAUUCCCAGUUUUGUGUACAAAGUUCUGUUAAUUUGGAAUUUAUCUAAAUUUUCUAGCAUUGUCAUAUUCUGAAACCCUAACACUUGACACUUGGAUCUGCUAGACAGAACUUUUCGGUCUCUCUGUAAUACCAGUAAACUCUUCAAUUCAAAUCUGCCAUUUUAUUUACAUGAUGCAAGAACGGUUGGGAAACUUGCAUAUAGUGUUCUAGUUCCAACGGUAGAAAAAUACCAUAGUGGUUCAACAUACCUGUUUUCCUGCCUGCUGGUAUAGGAAUAUAAUAUAAAGAUUUCAAAUAUAAGAUUGUAGAAACUGACUGAACUUUGUUCCAGGUUAGACUCUAGUAUAUCCUGACCACAAAUAAUUAAAUUACUACUUUCCCCUUAUUUUCUAGCAUUUUGGUUUUCCUUACUAAGAAAAGUAAGUUACUAGCUGCAGGGCAGCUGCGUAAAGACCAUGCAGCCAAGUUCAGAGCAGACACACCAACAUUUCUAUGCUGUCUCAAAGCAGAACCAGCUCCACAGUGAAAACCAGCAACCUAUUGGACUCUGAUUCUUCUAACCAUGCAUGUGCUCAGAUAUGCUACCUGGGCAUAUCUCUCAAUGAUAUAAAUGGGCCUGCAACUUCUUUUUUAGGCAUGAAUUUGGAGGCAGAACAGAUUUUUUUGUUAGGUUCUUUAAAAAUCAGGACUGAAUACUAGAGCAUUACAUAAUAUAAUGUGCAUUACAUACAAAGACGGGUGUGGAAGCUCAAAUGUUAAAGAGGAAUUGUUGAAUAGUAUAAAAUAGCACUUAGGGUAUUGUCAUUUUCCACACAGUUAUAAAUGGGAGUAGUUAUAUUACUUAGUGUAAAUAUUACAAUAGUAUAAUUUUAGGGAGGGGUUUUAGAUGCAAUAUUUCUACUUAGCAAGAGAGUGAAAGCAUGGUUCAAUGGUUAGAGCAUGAGCUUGGUGCUCCGGAGACCCGGGUACAGACAUCCUAGGCCCCUAAAACUUGUGAUGGUUUUGAAAAUCCCACUUGGUGCCUAAAUACCUUUAAAAAUCUGGCCCUUGUGCUCUCUCUGGGCACUACCCUAACUAACAAGGUGAAAAUUAAUAUAUUAAAGAUUGUGAGAGGCUCAGAGACUAUGGUAACUGGGACUAUAUAAUUGAUUAAAAUACAGAGAUAAACCAGUUCCUUCUCCUUUAUGACACAGGAGUUAAUCCAGUCCUAGUUUGGAAAUAUCCCAAGAGCUAUGUGGGGUUGUGAGGAAAGAGGUCUAUCUGGAUGUUUAUAUUGCUCUCAUCCCUGGUAUCUGAGGAGUAGACUGAGAUGGGAAAUUGGCCAGCUAAUUUACAUGAGUUCCUCGCCCAGUAAACAGCUUCAAGACUCCCAGAGAAACAGUGGACCUGAUCCUGCAAACCUCUAUUGAAUGAGGAAAAUCGAGAUCUCAAAAUCUCUUCUGAAUUUUCCCAUUUUAAAAAAGAAGGAGCGAGACAAACAACAUUGGUGUGGAUAAGAAAAUGCACUUAUUAUGAUAAAACAGAUCAGAGUUGAGAUUAAUAAAUCUCAGAAAAGCAUGAAGAGAGCGCUCAUCUCUCCAUUGAAGAUGUUAUCAGUGAGAAGUAGCUUGAGACAGGAGAUGUCGACCAGAAGGACAUAACGGGGGUGCCAAUAAAGGAUCAUGAAAGAUCCAGGAUUUGCUAGAAAGCUCGACUUACCCACCAAGAAGGGACAGCAUGAGCAGUACAAACUUCCCCACUGCUUCCUAGUCCAUGUGCCUCAGCCCUGACCCGGAGGAACCACUCCUGGAGGUGAGAGAAUCGUUCAUUUUCAAGGCUGUUUGAGCCGGUUGGAUCACGCCUGACUGUGGAGCGACCUCACUCUGAGCAAGCUGGUGCAUGGAAAUGGGAGUGAUGCAAGCCAUUUUAAUACUGUCAAGUAUUUGGCAACUCCAAGUGAAGAGCAUUAGCAAAAUGAUGUAGCAAUCUUCUGGAAUUCUUUCUGGUCCAUACUCAGUGCUCUUAGCAGCCACUCCUAGUCUUUGCUAAAUGUUAUUCUCUGUGACUUGUGAAUAUUGCUUACCAAUAUGUGUAUCCUCUGCUGUUAGGGCUAUAUCGUGGCCUUUAAAGCCAGUGCCGUGUUAGAGGCCUGCAGACGUGCCUACAGAAAGAACAGUGGGAAGCAGAAUGUGAGGCUUAUAUGGGGAUGGCAACUACUACACUUUUUACGAGCACAGUGUGUGCUUCCCCCAACAGUGCACUUGAUGGAUGGCCAGUGAGGAAAGUAGUGGGGCUACGGAUGUGACUCCGCCCUCUGUGGGGAGCUCUGGUAACUCUGAUUGUACUAACACUACUCAAGUUGCAGGAUUCUGCUACACACUGAGUAGUUGUGCAAGUGGAAAAGGACUUUCUGCACCUCUUCUCUCCUCUGCCUGUCUACACAAAGGGAUCCGGGAGCAGAUUCUAGGGAGAUGUCUGUUCAUUUGUGAUCAGUAUUAUUUACAUACAAAUCAAAACCACAAAAAUAAUAAGCAUGCUAGUGGGAGCUCAAAGGCUGCUCUGAUAUCAUAGAAUCAUAGAAGAUUAGGGUUGGAAGAGACCUCAGGAGGUCAUCUAGUCCAACCCCCUGCUGAAAGCAGGACCAACCCCAACUAAAUCAUCCCAGCCAGGGCUUUGUCAAGCCAGGCCUUAAAAACCUCUAAGGAUGGAGAUUCCACCACCUCCCUAGGUAUCCUGCCCAAGUUUAUUUGUUUACACUACAUGUUACUG